UACGAAGGGCGCUAGCGUUGUUCGGAAUUACUGGGCGUAAAGGGCGCGUAGGCGGCUUGGCAAGUUGGGUGUGAAAGCCCAGGGCUCAACCCUGGAACUGCACUCAAGACUGCCUUGCUUGAAUUCGGUAGAGGUUGGUGGAAUUCCCAGUGUAGAGGUGAAAUUCGUAGAGAUUGGGAAGAACACCCGUGGCGAAGGCGGCCAACUGGACCGACAUUGACGCUGAGGCGCGAAAGCGUGGGGAUCAAAC
RNAcentral lists this ribosomal RNA (250 nucleotides) under uncultured bacterium. RNAcentral describes it as "partial 16S ribosomal RNA". It matches the Rfam family "Bacterial small subunit ribosomal RNA", at positions 524 to 773 of the family's 1533-position model. The record is from RNAcentral.